This 498-nucleotide ribosomal RNA is filed under the name uncultured bacterium. RNAcentral's name for it is "partial 16S ribosomal RNA". It matches the Rfam family "Bacterial small subunit ribosomal RNA", at positions 28 to 507 of the family's 1533-position model. The record is from RNAcentral.
GACGAACGCUGGCGGCGUGCUUAACACAUGCAAGUCGAACGGGCCUGUCUUCUUUUUUGGGGGUGGGUUGAGUGGCGAACGGGUGAGUAUCACGUGAGUAACCUGCCCUUCGGUCCUGGAUAACCGCUUGAAAGGGCGGCUAAUACGGGGUGGUCCGGUUGGUCCGCAUGGGCUGGUCGGGAUAGAUUCACUGUUUUUGGUGUUUCGGCGGGGGAUGGGCUCGCGGCCUAUCAGCUUGUUGGUGGGGUGAUGGCCUACCAAGGCGGUGACGGGUAGCCGGCCUGAGAGGGUGGGCGGCCACACUGGGACUGAGAUACGGCCCAGACUCCUGCGGGAGGCAGCAGUGGGGGUAUUGCACAAUGGGCGGAAGCCUGAUGCAGCGACGUCGCGUGAGGGAUGGAGGCCUUCGGGUUGUGAACCUCUGUUUCCGGUGGUGAAGGCCCUGUCCGUGUGGUGGGGUUGACGGUAGCCGGGGAUGAAGCGCCGGCUAACUACGUG